Non-coding RNA from Erythrobacter sp. HI00D59, 97 nucleotides. Lineage: Bacteria; Pseudomonadati; Pseudomonadota; Alphaproteobacteria; Sphingomonadales; Erythrobacteraceae. The record is from Rfam.
CAGGCGCGCACGGGAGAGACCGGGUGGCGGCGUCCAUCCGGCGCCGAAGGAGCAACCGCCCCGGAAACUCUCAGGCUAAGCGGACCGUGCGCUCCAU